This 341-nucleotide unclassified non-coding RNA is filed under the name soil metagenome. Its description in RNAcentral is "partial contains 5.8S ribosomal RNA, internal transcribed spacer 2, and large subunit ribosomal RNA". The stretch from base 1 to 119 matches the Rfam family "5.8S ribosomal RNA", at positions 36 to 154 of the family's 154-position model. The record is from RNAcentral.
AUGAAGAACGUAGCGAAAUGCGAUAAGUAAUGUGAAUUGCAGAAUUCAGUGAAUCAUCGAAUCUUUGAACGCACAUUGCGCCCGCCAGCACUCUGGCGGGCAUGCCUGUUCGAGCGUCAUUUCAACCAUCAAGCCCCCAGGGGCUUGUGCUGGGGCCCUGCGGCUGCCCGCAGGCCCUGAAAACCAGUGGCGGGCUCGCUAGUCACACCGAGCGCAGUAGCACAUCUCGCUCAGGGCGUGCGGCGGGCUCCUGCCGUGAAACCCCCCACUGUAACCCCAAAGGUUGACCUCGGAUCAGGUAGGAAUACCCGCUGAACUUAAGCAUAUCAAUAAGCGGAGGA